Molecule: transfer RNA, 82 nt
Filed under: Taphrina deformans PYCC 5710
Lineage: Eukaryota; Fungi; Ascomycota; Taphrinomycetes; Taphrinales; Taphrinaceae
Description: tRNA-Leu (TAA) (tRNA-Leu-TAA-1-1)
Rfam family: tRNA
About the family: Transfer RNA (tRNA) molecules are approximately 80 nucleotides in length. Their secondary structure includes four short double-helical elements and three loops (D, anti-codon, and T loops). Further hydrogen bonds mediate the characteristic L-shaped molecular structure. tRNAs have two regions of fundamental functional importance: the anti-codon, which is responsible for specific mRNA codon recognition, and the 3' end, to which the tRNAs corresponding amino acid is attached (by aminoacyl-tRNA synthetases). tRNAs cope with the degeneracy of the genetic code in two manners: having more than one tRNA (with a specific anti-codon) for a particular amino acid; and 'wobble' base-pairing, i.e. permitting non-standard base-pairing at the 3rd anti-codon position.
Source: Rfam by way of RNAcentral
GCAACUUUGGCCGAGUGGUCUAAGGCGUUGGACUUAAGCCCCAAUCACGAAAGUGGCGUGGGUUCGAAACCCUCAGGUUGCA